Molecule: ribosomal RNA, 448 nt
Filed under: uncultured Enterobacteriaceae bacterium
Lineage: Bacteria; Pseudomonadati; Pseudomonadota; Gammaproteobacteria; Enterobacterales; Enterobacteriaceae
Description: bacterial SSU rRNA
Rfam family: Bacterial small subunit ribosomal RNA
Source: RNAcentral
AUUGAACGCUGGCGGCAGGCCUAACACAUGCAAGUCGAACGGUAACAUGAGAAAGCUUGCUUUCUUGAUGACGAGUGGCGGACGGGUGAGUAAUGUAUGGGGAUCUGCCUGAUGGAGGGGGAUAACUACUGGAAACGGUAGCUAAUACCGCGUAAUGUCGCAAGACCAAAGUGGGGGACCUUCGGGCCUCACGCCAUCAGAUGAACCCAUAUGGGAUUAGCUAGUAGGUGGGGUAAAGGCUCACCUAGGCGACGAUCUCUAACUGGUCUGAGAGGAUGACCAGUCACACUGGGACUGAGACACGGCCCAGACUCCUACGGGAGGCAGCAGUGGGGAAUACUGCACAAUGGAGGGAACUCUGAUGCAGCGACGCCGCGUGAAUGAUGAAGGCUUUCGAGUCGUAAAAUUCUGUCCUUAGGGAAGAUAAUGACGGUACCUAAGGAGGAAG